Long non-coding RNA from Aedes aegypti (yellow fever mosquito), 1204 nucleotides. RefSeq lists it as uncharacterized. The transcript has 2 exons. The record is from RefSeq and is a predicted model, not a curated record. NCBI's taxonomy places the organism in Eukaryota, Metazoa, Arthropoda, Insecta, Diptera, Culicidae.
UUGAGACGUCAUGUGAAUAUGCCUAUACCGCUACUUCUCAGUUUCAGCAAAGUGGAGAAAGUGUUCUGCUGACAGCUGUAGUUUUCUUAUCCGAUCGACAGAGAGGUGCCAAAUGGCAUCAAAUAGAAAUAUGGCCUUGCUCGCUAACUCAUCGCUACUGUAAAAAAAUGUGUUGUUCCCAAGUAGCAUCUGCAAUGCUGGUUGUUUCCCGAAAAAAGUACCCAGCUUCUCAACCAAUCUUUGCUAAACAACCCACAACCCACAUUAUCCGGAUGUACGCGUGGAUUGGCUGGGACUCGUAUGGAUGGACCCAAGGAAAAGUUGACGACCAACGAAGGAACCAACUCCAGUGCAUCAUAUUUUCCGUUCAAGUAAUGGUAGCAACGACUGCGAAAAAGUGGCCUCCGGCAGGUGCCUCUUAUGAAGGAUCUGGCAAACCAUAUCUGAGGUAUAGACCAACGCAGACGAUCGCACCCAGAGCUGUCGAGUGUACGGAGCACAAAGCAUCCAAUGGAAUACCCAGUUAUGUUCAAAUAUCUCCUGCCAGGAAAAAAACGGAGCAGAAAAAUAUGAUAAAGGAUGAAAACACCGUUGUCAAUGGGUUAUUUUGGUCGUUACCAGGCCGUUCCUUGUUUGACGAUUCCACGCGUGGGCAAUAAAAUAUUCACCGGUACGGUACCGGUAUCACUGACUACAAUGGCAAUCGAAAGGUGGAUGUUGGAAUCCAUUUAGUAGAACGUUAUGAAAAAAUACUCUAAAUGUUAUUCCACGAUGCAGCGAAGUUCAAGACAAACAACGAGAACAGUAUCUAACAUGAAAGCCAAUCUAUAUUUUAAGAAUGAUACUUCCGUUUUCAAUUUUCAAAGUCCAUUCAUUUUGCAUGUUAGAUUGACUAACAGGUUUUUUUUUAUAUUCUAAUUCGACGGUCUUGGAGAAGAUUCAUGGAUAGGUAACGAAGCUGGACGCUAUUAAGUUCAUGAUUUAUUUAGUGAUUAAUCUUCAAAGAUUAGAUGUAUGUUACGAAGAUUUUGUUUAUAUUGGGUGUCUAUUUAGUUCAUAUAAACCUAUCCAGUCUUUUGUAUAUUUUAGAAUUAGACGUAAAUGUGUAUACAAAUGCGUUACAUAUAAAAUCAUUUUGUUUUCCAUGUACAACUAUGUUCACUUGCCUAAAUAAAUGAUAAAGGGACAAUUGAAGUAAGAUGUA